AUACGUAUGGGGCUAGCGUUGUUCGGAUUCACUGGGCGUAAAGGGCGUGUAGGCGGCCAUGCAAGUCGGAUGUGAAAUUUUCAGGCUUAACCUGAAAACUGCAUUCGAAACUGCGUAGCUAGAGUACCGGAGAGGGAGACGGAAUUCCUGGUGUAGGGGUGAAAUCUGUAGAUAUCAGGAAGAACACCGGUGGCGAAGGCGGUCUCCUGGCCGGAUACUGACGCUGAGGCGCGAAAGCUAGGGGAGCAAACAGGAUUAGAUACCCUAGUAGUCC
Molecule: ribosomal RNA, 274 nt
Filed under: uncultured bacterium
Lineage: Bacteria
Description: partial 16S ribosomal RNA
Rfam family: Bacterial small subunit ribosomal RNA
Source: RNAcentral